GGGCCGGUCGUCUAGUGGGAGGAUGUCCGCUUGGCAUGCGGGUGGUCCCGGGUUCGAAUCCCGGCCGGUCCACCA
Molecule: transfer RNA, 75 nt
Filed under: Thermofilum pendens
Lineage: Archaea; Thermoproteati; Thermoproteota; Thermoprotei; Thermofilales; Thermofilaceae
Also listed under: 6 other names
Description: tRNA-Ala
Rfam family: tRNA
About the family: Transfer RNA (tRNA) molecules are approximately 80 nucleotides in length.
Source: RNAcentral